This 815-nucleotide ribosomal RNA is filed under the name uncultured Chloroflexota bacterium. RNAcentral's name for it is "bacterial SSU rRNA". It matches the Rfam family "Bacterial small subunit ribosomal RNA", at positions 67 to 902 of the family's 1533-position model. The record is from RNAcentral. Lineage: Bacteria; Bacillati; Chloroflexota.
CGGGAAGCGAUACUUGUAUCGCGGAGAGUGGCGGACGGGUGAGGAACACGUAGACGACCUGCCCUGGGGAGGGGGAUAACGCGGGGAAACCCGAGCUAAGACCCCAUAAGCUCACGAGGAUUAGAAACUCAUGAGAAAAGGCUCCGGUGCUCCAGGAGGGGUCUGCGGCCCAUCAGGUAGUUGGCGGGGUAAUGGCCCACCAAGCCGUUGACGGGUAGGGGACCUGAGAGGGUGACCCCCCACACGGGGACUGAGACACGGCCCCGACUCCUACGGGAGGCAGCAGUAAGGGAUAUUGCACAAUGGGCGCAAGCCUGAUGCAGCAACGCCGCGUGCCCGAUGAAGGCCUUCGGGUCGUAAAGGGCUUUUCUGGCUGAAGAGGACGGACAGUAAGCCAGGAAUAAGUGUCGGCUAACUACGUGCCAGCAGCCGCGGUAAAACGUAGGACGCAAGCGUUAUCCGGAGUUACUGGGCGUAAAGGGCGGGCAGGCGGCUCUUCAAGUCUGAUGUGAAAGCGCCCAGCUAAACUGGGCGAGGCCAUUGGAAACUGGAGAGCUGGAGGGCAGCAGAGGCAGGUGGAAUUCCGGGUGGAGUGGUGAAAUGCGUAGAGAUCCGGAGGAACCCCAGAGGCGAAGGCGGCCUGCUGGGCUGCACCUGACGCUGAACCGCGAAAGCCAGGGGAGCGAACGGGAUUAGAAACCCCGGUAGUCCUGGCCGUAAACGAUGUUCACUGGAUGUCGGGGGUUAUGCCUUCGGCGUCGUAGCAAACGCGCUAAGUGAACCGCCUGGGGAGUACGGUCGCAAGGCUAAAACUC